GUUCAUGGCUCAGAUUGAACGCUGGCGGCAGGCCUAACACAUGCAAGUCGAACGGUAACAGAAAGCAGCUUGCUGCUUUGCUGACGAGUGGCGGACGGGUGAGUAAUGUCUGGGAAACUGCCCGAUGGAGGGGGAUAACUACUGGAAACGGUAGCUAAUACCGCAUAACGUCGCAAGACCAAAGAGGGGGACCUUCGGGCCUCUUGCCAUCGGAUGUGCCCAGAUGGGAUUAGCUAGUAGGUGGGG
Molecule: ribosomal RNA, 246 nt
Filed under: uncultured bacterium
Lineage: Bacteria
Description: partial 16S ribosomal RNA
Rfam family: Bacterial small subunit ribosomal RNA
Source: RNAcentral